AUGUUUGUUUUGUGAGAGGAUACAAUACAACAUUUUCUUAUUUUCUAUUAAGAAUCAGGGAAGCAGUUGGAAUGCAUUUGCAAGAUUUGUCUUUCACUGCAAAAUCAGCUGGAAAUAUUUGGGGAUUUGUCUUCCCAUCACUUCUGGUCACCUUUCUUGUCUCUGCUGAAGAAAACCAAACCCACAGCUUGAUGCUGCUACAAACAUGAUUCUCCCUCCUGAGCCGUGGAUCUGCACAGUUCCCAUGUAACUCGAGGCAGCUCUUCUGCUCUCCAACUCAAAGAAGAUUUGUAAUUGUGCCGUGUUUUCGUCCAUUUUUGGAUGACAAAAUGAACACCGCUCUGUGUUUUGUCAAAAUCUUUGUUGUAUUGUUUUAUAGCCUAACUCUGCAUCAAAACCCUCUGCAACUCUGUCUUCUUCU
Poecilia reticulata (guppy) is the source of this 421-nucleotide long non-coding RNA. RefSeq lists it as uncharacterized. The record is from RefSeq and is a predicted model, not a curated record. Lineage: Eukaryota; Metazoa; Chordata; Actinopteri; Cyprinodontiformes; Poeciliidae.